GCCGGUGCCGACGUAGUUCCCUAACUGGUCAGCUUUACACAAGCUUGGUUUUGUACGUGUCUUCCCCAUGUCUACGUUUAGUUGCCAUGCCGUUUGUUUCUGUUUUGUUCUGACGACUGUACCUUCUGGAGAGACAGUGUCACUAGAAGGCGAGGCGGUGGGGAAUUCUGAGGUGUGCAGGCCUCCGGCAUCCUACUCGCAGGUUGGCUGGCGCGCGCCCCGAGGGCUGUGCCCUCUCGUAUCUUCCAUGGUUCCAGGAAUCUGAAUCAGUGUGACAGUGCCUAAACUCAUCAUAGGACAGUAUCACACUUACUGUUACAGAACAGGAUGGCAGUUAUCAUUAUAAUGGCUCUAACAUUUGGGCUUUCACCAUGUGCUAGUACAGUGCUAAAUUUUACACGGAUUAUCUCAGUUAAGCCCACGAACAGCCUGAGGAGAAGAAAGGCCAUGUCUGAAAGUGGCAUCUACAAAUCAGGAAGAGAGCCCUCCCCAAGAACUGACUGGGCCAGCACCCUGACCUUGACUUCUCAACCUUCAGAACUGAUGCUGACUCUGAAAACCAAAGAGCUGCCUGUUUAUU
Molecule: long non-coding RNA, 580 nt
Organism: Mirounga angustirostris (Northern elephant seal)
Lineage: Eukaryota; Metazoa; Chordata; Mammalia; Carnivora; Phocidae
Exons: 3
Source: RefSeq, a predicted model, not a curated record